UAUCAGGCCUUUUUCAAGGCCACUCAUAUUACAUUUUAAAUCUCC
Molecule: non-coding RNA, 45 nt
Organism: Bos taurus (domestic cattle)
Lineage: Eukaryota; Metazoa; Chordata; Mammalia; Artiodactyla; Bovidae
Source: Rfam